GCAGAGGGCAGUCGGGUCCCGGCAGUGGCUGCAGAGCUCUCGUCUUCUGUGGCUCUCCGAGCCCUCUCCUUUUCGCUUCCGGAAACAUGGCCUCCGGUAUGGCUGUGUGAUGGUGUCAUGAACAUGUUCAACGGCAUGAAGGUGCGUAAGUCUUCAAUGCCAGAGGAGGUGAAGAAGCACAAGAAGGCAGUGCUCUUCUGCCUUGGUGAGGACAAGAAGAACGUCAUCAAGAAGAUCCUGGUGGGCAAUGUGGGCCAGACUAUCGACAACCCCUGUGCCACCUUUGUCAGGAUGCUGCCAGAUAAGGACUGCCACUACGCCCUCUAUGACACAGCCUACAGGACCAAGGAGAGCAAGAAGGAGGACCUGGUGUUUAUCUUCUGGGUCCCUGAGUCUGCGCCCCUUAACAGCAAAAUGACCUAUUCCAGCUCCAAGGAUUCCAUCAAGAAGAACCUGACAGGGGUCAAGCAUGAAUUACACGCAAACUGCUAUGAGGAGGUCAAGGACCGCUGCACCCUGGCAGAGAAGCUGGGGGGCAGUGCAGUCAUCUCCCUGGAGGACAAGCCUUUGUGAGCCCCUUCUGGUGCCCUGCCUGGAGCAUCUGGCAGCCCCACAUCUACUGUUGGGGGUUGCAGGCUGUUCCCUUCCUCUCAGACCUGAAGGGCUGGGGAGGAUCCCAGCAGAGGGAGUGCAAUCCCUUCACCC
Molecule: RNA transcript, 705 nt
Organism: Mandrillus leucophaeus (drill)
Lineage: Eukaryota; Metazoa; Chordata; Mammalia; Primates; Cercopithecidae
Gene name: cofilin-1 pseudogene
Exons: 1
Source: RefSeq, a predicted model, not a curated record